CGCUGGCGGCAGGCCUAACACAUGCAAGUCGAACGGUAACAGGAAGCAGCUUGCUGCUUCGCUGACGAGUGGCGGACGGGUGAGUAAUGUCUGGGAAACUGCCUGAUGGAGGGGGAUAACUACUGGAAACGGUGGCUAAUACCGCAUAACGUCGCAAGACCAAAGAGGGGGACCUUCGGGCCUCUUGCCAUCAGAUGUGCCCAGAUGGGAUUAGCUUGUUGGUGAGGUAACGGCUCACCAAGGCGACGAUCCCUAGCUGGUCUGAGAGGAUGACCAGCCACACUGGAACUGAGACACGGUCCAGACUCCUACGGGAGGCAGCAGUGGGGAAUAUUGCACAAUGGGCGCAAGCCUGAUGCAGCCAUGCCGCGUGUAUGAAGAAGGCCUUCGGGUUGUAAAGUACUUUCAGCGGGGAGGAAGGUGUUGUGGUUAAUAACCGCAGCAAUUGACGUUACCCGCAGAAGAAGCACCGGCUAACUCCGUGCCAGCAGCCGCGGUAAUACGGAGGGUGCAAGCGUUAAUCGGAAUUACUGGGCGUAAAGCGCACGCAGGCGGUCUGUCAAGUCGGAUGUGAAAUCCCCGGGCUCAACCUGGGAACUGCAUUCGAAACUGGCAGGCUUGAGUCUUGUAGAGGGGGGUAGAAUUCCAGGUG
RNAcentral lists this ribosomal RNA (652 nucleotides) under Salmonella enterica. Its description in RNAcentral is "bacterial SSU rRNA". It matches the Rfam family "Bacterial small subunit ribosomal RNA", at positions 34 to 675 of the family's 1533-position model. Lineage: Bacteria; Pseudomonadati; Pseudomonadota; Gammaproteobacteria; Enterobacterales; Enterobacteriaceae. The record is from RNAcentral.